Molecule: long non-coding RNA, 813 nt
Organism: Gossypium raimondii (Peruvian cotton)
Lineage: Eukaryota; Viridiplantae; Streptophyta; Magnoliopsida; Malvales; Malvaceae
Exons: 2
Source: RefSeq, a predicted model, not a curated record
UCCGGAAAAUGUCUUACGGCUUCAAAUUGGUAAGACAUUUUCCAUUCUUCUCUAAGCAGACAUUUUCCAUUCUCUUCUAAGCAGCAGACAUUUUUCAUUCCUCAAAGCUUCCGCCUCUCCUCCUCAUCUUUGCCUCGCCAUCUCUGUCUCUCAGCUUCAUCUUCCUUCUCCAUCUCUCUACUCCAUAGAUCUGUCGGGCUAUUGAGCACCCAACUUUUUCAGCACUUACAAGACCAUUGUGUGAUCUGUAUUCACUUAUUCCUCCUCUUCUAGUUGUAACGCAUAAGAAACGCAGGGUAUGUAGAUGUUUUUGUAGUUUAUGAUAUUCUGAAUGCCGUGGGUCUUAUUUACUGGAAUAAAUUGUUAAUGCUUUUAGUCCUUUGCAUUAUAAUUAAUUCCAUGGUUUAGUUUUAGCAUUGAGUUAAUGGAUUAAAAGGAAGUAUUGAGGUGAUUCUCCUUUGCAGUUUAACAUGGGGAAUGAUGUGUUGUCUUUUGGUGAUUUGAAUGUUUAUGGAAGUUGAGUUCUUCUAGUAAUGAGUUUGAUAGCUUUUAUGGAGGUAAUAAAGGGAAAGCUGUUGGUUUUUAUGGUGUUGAAGAUUGGGGUGAAACUGGUGGCAUUGAUCCCUUGCCUUCUGAUUAUGGAUUAGGCUCAGGAGUUGCAAUGGGCAAGCACUAGGUUUAAAGGCAAUUAGGAUUUUAUUGAUGUGCAUGUAUAAGUUUUUUAGCUAAUGUCUGGUUCAUCAUUUUUUGCUGCAGUGAAAUUUAUGCUAAUGUAUAAGAGACUUUAUGCUUGAGAUUUUGGACUCGUUUUCA